AGCGGCGGACGGGUGAGUAAUGCUUAGGAAUCUGCUAUUUAGUGAGGGACAACAUUCCGAAAGGAAUGCUAAUACCGCAUACGUCCUACGGGAGAAAGCAGGGGAUCCUCGGACCUUGCGCUAAAUGAUGAGCCUAAGUCGGAUUAGCUAGUUGGUGGGGUAAAGGCCUACCAAGGCGACGAUCUGUAGCGGGUCUGAGAGGAUGAUCCGCCACACUGGGACUGAGACACGGCCCAGACUCCUACGGGAGGCAGCAGUGGGGAAUAUUGGACAAUGGGCGGAAGCCUGAUCCAGCCAUGCCGCGUGUGUGAAGAAGGCCUUUUGGUUGUAAAGCACUUUAAGCGAGGAGGAGGCUACCUGGAUUAAUACUCUGGGAUAGUGGACGUUACUCGCAGAAUAAGCACCGGCUAACUCUGUGCCAGCAGCCGCGGUAAUACAGAGGGUGCGAGCGUUAAUCGGAUUUACUGGGCGUAAAGCGUGCGUAGGCGGCUUUUUAAGUCGGGUGUGAAAUCCCCGAGCUUAACUUGGGAAUUGCAUUCGAUACUGGGAAGCUAGAGUAUGGGAGAGGAUGGUAGAAUUCCAGGUGUAGCGGUGAAAUGCGUAGAGAUCUGGAGGAAUACCGAUGGCGAAGGCAGCCAUCUGGCCUAAUACUGACGCUGAGGUACGAAAGCAUGGGGAGCAAACAGGAUUAGAUACCCUGGUAGUCCAUGCCGUANACGAUGUCUACUAGC
This 731-nucleotide ribosomal RNA is filed under the name uncultured bacterium. RNAcentral describes it as "bacterial SSU rRNA". It matches the Rfam family "Bacterial small subunit ribosomal RNA", at positions 94 to 820 of the family's 1533-position model. The record is from RNAcentral.